UUUUUAUGGAGAGUUUGAUCCUGGCUCAGGACGAACGCUGGCGGCGUGCUUAACACAUGCAAGUCGAACGGAAAGGCCUAGCUUGCUAGGUACUCGAGUGGCGAACGGGUGAGUAACACGUGGGUGAUCUGCCUCGUACUUCGGGAUAAGCCUGGGAAACUGGGUCUAAUACUGGAUAGGACCAUGCUUUAGUGUGUGUGGUGGAAAGUUUUUCGGUACGAGAUGAGCCCGCGGCCUAUCAGCUUGUUGGUGGGGUAAUGGCCUACCAAGGCGUCGACGGGUAGCCGGCCUGAGAGGGUGGACGGCCACAUUGGGACUGAGAUACGGCCCAGACUCCUACGGGAGGCAGCAGUGGGGAAUAUUGCACAAUGGGCGCAAGCCUGAUGCAGCGACGCCGCGUGGGGGAUGACGGCCUUCGGGUUGUAAACCUCUUUCGCUAGGGACGAAGCUUUUGUGACGGUACCUAGAUAAGAAGCACCGGCUAACUACGUGCCAGCAGCCGCGGUAAUACGUAGGGUGCGAGCGUUGUCCGGAAUUACUGGGCGUAAAGAGCUCGUAGGUGGUUUGUCGCGUCGUCUGUGAAAUUCCGGGGCUUAACUUCGGGCGUGCAGGCGAUACGGGCAUAACUUGAGUGCUGUAGGGGAGACUGGAAUUCCUGGUGUAGCGGUGGAAUGCGCAGAUAUCAGGAGGAACACCGAUGGCGAAGGCAGGUCUCUGGGCAGUAACUGACGCUGAGGAGCGAAAGCAUGGGGAGCGAACAGGAUUAGAUACCCUGGUAGUCCAUGCCGUAAACGGUGGGCGCUAGGUGUGAGGGUCUUCCACGACUUUCGUGCCGUAGCUAACGCAUUAAGCGCCCCGCCUGGGGAGUACGGCCGCAAGGCUAAAACUCAAAGGAAUUGACGGGGGCCCGCACAAGCGGCGGAGCAUGUGGAUUAAUUCGAUGCAACGCGAAGAACCUUACCUGGGCUUGACAUAUGCAGGAUCGGCGUAGUGAUACGUUUUCCCUUGUGGUCUGUAUACAGGUGGUGCAUGGUUGUCGUCAGCUCGUGUCGUGAGAUGUUGGGUUAAGUCCCGCAACGAGCGCAACCCUUGUCUUAUGUUGCCAGCACGUGAUGGUGGGGACUCAUGAGAGACUGCCGGGGUUAACUCGGAGGAAGGUGGGGAUGACGUCAAAUCAUCAUGCCCCUUAUGUCCAGGGCUUCACACAUGCUACAAUGGUCGGUACAACGCGCUGCGAGCCUGUGAGGGUGAGCGAAUCGCUGAAAGCCGGCCUCAGUUCGGAUUGGGGUCUGCAACUCGACCCCAUGAAGUCGGAGUCGCUAGUAAUCGCAGAUCAGCAACGCUGCGGUGAAUACGUUCCCGGGCCUUGUACACACCGCCCGUCACGUCAUGAAAGUUGGUAACACCCGAAGCCAGUGGCCUAACCCUUGUGGGGGGGAGCUGUCGAAGGUGGGAUCGGCGAUUGGGACGAAGUCGUAACAAGGUAGCCGUACCGGAAGGUGCGGCUGGAUCACCUCCUUUCUAAGGAG
RNAcentral lists this ribosomal RNA (1529 nucleotides) under Corynebacterium diphtheriae DSM 43988. RNAcentral's name for it is "bacterial SSU rRNA". It matches the Rfam family "Bacterial small subunit ribosomal RNA". Lineage: Bacteria; Bacillati; Actinomycetota; Actinomycetes; Mycobacteriales; Corynebacteriaceae. The record is from RNAcentral.